AUUACAAUUUCAUUAAAUGAUGGAGUAAAAAAUAUGAAUAGUAAAAUGAUGUUUAAUUUUCAUAAACUAAUAAACUUGGUGAUCCAUCGGUUUAUUGUAAAUCUAGAAUCCUGAAUUGUGUCAUAGCAAGUGGGUGCAAAUGAAAUAUUGCUCUGAUCCCACCAUCAAUAUUCCAAUUCCAACAAACCAAUUACCGAGGCAAAUUACGGCACAAUCUGAAAAUUUCUGAAAACAAUACCUUAUUUUUCUCUACAGGAAGAAUGUCGUUUUAUCUUCAAUUAUGAGAGAAGCAACACAUGGGAUAUCAGAAAGCUGGACAAGAAAACGAUGGAGACUAUGCAACUUAUGUGAGAGACCUGACCCCACAAUAAUGGACUUGAUUGGAAUGUGACGUCAUAUCUUAUGUCAUUUUUAUUAGCCUUAUUCUAUCCUUUUUUAUCCACCUCUAUUUACAUAAUAUGGAUACACUAUUCUUUAUAUAUAAAGUAAAGGCCUAAUUACUCAAAAACCCCCCACCUUUCACUUUGUUUUCGUUUAUACCCUGACCUAGGAAAAAUGUCAUAAAUACUACUGACCUUGUCAUUAUGUUUCGCCCGUACCCUCGAGGUAUUAAAUUGAUCUCUUUUCAUUUGAAAAAGAGUUUAAAAUAA
Molecule: long non-coding RNA, 650 nt
Organism: Mercurialis annua (annual mercury)
Lineage: Eukaryota; Viridiplantae; Streptophyta; Magnoliopsida; Malpighiales; Euphorbiaceae
Exons: 2
Source: RefSeq, a predicted model, not a curated record